RNAcentral lists this long non-coding RNA (6303 nucleotides) under Brassica napus (rape). RNAcentral's name for it is "long non-coding RNA (BNAP_LNC010657)". Lineage: Eukaryota; Viridiplantae; Streptophyta; Magnoliopsida; Brassicales; Brassicaceae. The record is from RNAcentral.
AGGUCAUCAACUCAAGGUCAUCCACAGCUCAGGGUGUUCUCUCCGCAUUCCAAUGCUUCUCCACCUCAUCCUCCAAUGCCUUCCUCUCCAUCCCAAAGAGAUGAGAGUGAAACAAUCACAAACCUUCCUAUCUCUCAUCAAAAUACUUUAGGGGAGGGAUCUCUUCAUUCAAACAUGCAGCCACCAACUUCUUCUCAACCCCGCCAGGUUUCUCCUUCAAACAGCAGGUCUCCUAAUCAGCAUACCUCUAGUGAUCAAGAUAGAGCUGGACCAUCAGAGCUCCAAUCAUUUUCAGAAUCUCUAAAGUCUCGACUAAAUGCUGUCUCAAUGAGGUAUCCCAUCUCUAUCCAGCUGCCUUUGGUCUGUAUAUGUUUUUGUAACAAUCCGAAGUGGUUCCUUAUGAACAAUGUAGAUACAAAGAAUCAAUAUCAAAGAACACAAGGAGCUGGAAAGAUAGAUUCUUUUCACGCAGCACUUCCAUUGCAGAUCUUGGCUCUGAGGUUAAAAGAGAGGUCAGUGCCGGAAUAGCCACUGUGUCCCGCAUGAUGGAACGUUUAGAAACGAGAGAAGACAGUACUAGACCAGGGACUGAACCUGUAUCAGAAAACAACACUAAUGCUGAAUCAAACAAUAACUCUUCUGCGAUUCUGAUCCUUCAACUGUAUGUCGUCUCAAUAUUAUAAUUUGUUUGUUUUUGAGUGACAUUGAUUGAUUACCAGUUUUUUUAUCUUUAAUCUGUCGCAGUUGACUAGUUGCAAGCAUGAGUUUCAUCUUCAAUGCAUCCUUGAGUGGUAAGAGAAAAGAUAAACUCUCAUGCCUUUUGUAUCCUUGUUUCUUGUUUGUGUGAGAGCUGAUUAGAUCAUGUGGCAUUUGUGUUUCAGGUGUCAAAGGAGUUCACAGUGCCCAAUGUGUUGGCAAUCAAUUAGUCUCAAAGAUCCCACUAGGUUCCUUCUCUCUCCUUGUAAUACAUUUUAGUUCUUUUUGUUCUGCUGGAUGUUUGAGAUAUGUGUGUGUGUUUCCCUGUUUCACCAGUCAGGAGUUGCUUGAGGCUGUUGUACAGGAGAGGAGUUUCCGCUUCAAUCCACCUAGAAACGCCACCAUAUUUCGUCAUCCAACUCUUGGUGAUUUUGAGUUACAACAUGUAUGUGUCUCUUUUAUCAUAAACAUUUUAGGUUUGGGCACAAAUUUUUUUAAAAAAACGUUUGGUUUUGUAUAUUUUUAAACAAAAACAUCAUUAACUAUCAGCUUAACCACUUUUCAACCAACAAAAAAAACGACAGAAUAUAAAAGUCAUAAAACAUAAAAAUCCAAUAAAUUAUACAUUGAAAAUUGAAAACUGAAAACCUCAUGUAAUUUAAAACAAAUUUUGUUUUUCUAAAAUGUCAUUUUUUGAAAAAAGGAGGGAGUAUCUUACAUCUCUUUUGCUAGUGGAUUAACAAGAGUGAAUAUUAUUUUAAGUUUGAUUACUUCUCUUUUGCUAGUGGGUUAACUAAAGAGAGAGCUCCAUUUUGUUACAUUUUUCUUGAAAUGCAGCUCCCAGUAGGGGUGGAUAAUGCAGAGAUUGAAGAACGUAUCAUUCAGCACUUGGCUGCUGCUGCUGCUAUGGGCCGAGCAAGACAUGGUGCAAGAAGAGAAGGUCACAGAAGCAGGUCAUCAACUCAAGGUCAUCCACAGCUCAGGGUGUUCUCUCCGCAUUCCAAUGCUUCUCCACCUCAUCCUCCAAUGCCUUCCUCUCCAUCCCAAAGAGAUGAGAGUGAAACAAUCACAAACCUUCCUAUCUCUCAUCAAAAUACUUUAGGGGAGGGAUCUCUUCAUUCAAACAUGCAGCCACCAACUUCUUCUCAACCCCGCCAGGUUUCUCCUUCAAACAGCAGGUCUCCUAAUCAGCAUACCUCUAGUGAUCAAGAUAGAGCUGGACCAUCAGAGCUCCAAUCAUUUUCAGAAUCUCUAAAGUCUCGACUAAAUGCUGUCUCAAUGAGGUAUCCCAUCUCUAUCCAGCUGCCUUUGGUCUGUAUAUGUUUUUGUAACAAUCCGAAGUGGUUCCUUAUGAACAAUGUAGAUACAAAGAAUCAAUAUCAAAGAACACAAGGAGCUGGAAAGAUAGAUUCUUUUCACGCAGCACUUCCAUUGCAGAUCUUGGCUCUGAGGUUAAAAGAGAGGUCAGUGCCGGAAUAGCCACUGUGUCCCGCAUGAUGGAACGUUUAGAAACGAGAGAAGACAGUACUAGACCAGGGACUGAACCUGUAUCAGAAAACAACACUAAUGCUGAAUCAAACAAUGAGCAUAGUAGAAGAUCAGAAGCGAGUGAUGAACAUUCUUUGAGUGAAAGAGGUGUUAAAGGAACAUGUGCGGCUGCAUCUGGUUCUAGCUAAUAAAACUAGUGCCAGCAUCUUGUUGGCAAUGGUAUACUGAUUCAGCUUUGGCUUAUCAUGUGGUUGAUCCUCAACAACUAAGAUCUUGUAUUGUUUGUUGUUUCUUUUUCUUUCUUGUCAGAGACGAGAAGAUGUUUUUAUUGUGAAGUUCUGCUAUAUAUAUUGAUAUACUGAGUUGGAAGUUCAGAAUCAGAGGUGUGGGAGCAUUAGGAAGAGAUUUUUCCUAAAAGAAUAAUAAAAAGAUUAUGUGUUGUGUUAUGUCAUAAAAAAAAAACACGCCCGUAUGUUGUUAUGAUAGUUACUUAUGUAUCUUCAGAAGCUUUAGCCGAUGCCCCAAUUUAUUGUAUCUAAUGUUGCUUUUGAUUAGUAGUGCAUUACUUAGAAAGAGAGUUUCAAUCAAAAUCAGAGAACAUAGCUGGAUUUACAAACGAAAUGAGCUUUUAGUUUACAUUCUGUUAAGCACUCAUUUUGAAGGUUUUGUCUUCUUGUACUAGUUUUUUUUUUUGUUUUUGUUGCAAUUCAGUUAAAAGAGCAGAGCCUUGUGCGUUCGAUACAAAACUAGAAUCCGCCCUAAAACACCAGUGACAGCAUAAACUUCAUCUGUCAAUCCAGGAAGAAAAACAAAACAAAGCGAAAAUGGCUUUAUAUCCAAACAUGAAAACAUUCCAAGAAGAGACGUUUCUUGAUAAAAUUGCCUGAAAACCGAAAGUAUGAUGAGUAAGAUGUCGCCUGAAGAGCGUGAGAGGAUGUUUAACAUGGCAUCGUCUUUGAAAGCAAAUGCUCCAGUUUCAACAUCAUACAGAGAUGCCGAAACAGCUGAGCGACAGGAAGCGAGUGGUGAGUCUAGUUCUUCGGUAAGAGGUUUUGAACCAAGCAUGCCUUCUGCUCCGCCUGUUGACUUGCAGGAGCAGAUGAGAAACCAAAUGAAAGAUCCAGCGAUGCGACAGGUUUUAUGUUAUACAUUUUUUUUUUACAUAUUCAGGACUCAUAAAAUGUGAUUGUAGAUGUUAAUAUAUUGUAUUUUCUCUGUUUUUUUUUUGUAGAUGUUCAUGUCUAUGAUUAAAAACAUGAACCCGGAGAUGAUGGCUAGCAUGAGCGAACAGUUCGGAAUGAAGCUGUCUCGAGAAGAUGCGGCAAAAGCUCAAGAAGCCAUGGCUUCUCUUUCUCCUGAAGCUUUGGAGAAAAUGGUACACACUCGGUUUAUGAAAAUAUUGCAGAACUGACUGUAUUGGUUAUUUCAUUUGUAACUGUUGUGUGCAGAUGCGAUGGGCGGACCGGGCGCAAACCGGGAUAGAGAAAGCGAAGAGAGCAAAGAAGUGGUUGCUAGGCAAAGGCGGGUUGAUCUUUGCAAUAUGUAUGCUCGUUUUAGCAAUGAUCCUUCAUCGUCUAGGCUAUAUUGGAAGGUAAAGAAAACGAGGAAGGUCUCUUAAGACUUAUUAUGCCAGAGAACAGUCUUUGGUUUGGGCUCGUGGUUUUGUAAAACUGUAACAUCGACUCACUCACCGACAGUUUUUCUUCUUCUUCUUCUUUCUCUAGGCUUUUUAACCUCUUUUGUCUAGUCUUCCUUCCACCUUCUGUAGUGUUUUAAAAGCUUUUAAUGUUAUUUUUUCUUUUAGAUAUUCGUUAUAUUUUAUAAAGCAUACUAUUAUUCUCCUCGUCGUACCUUUCUCGAGUAAGAGAGUAAAAUUUUUCGAGAUUCACAAAAUCAGCACUAGUGCUGCUUGUUUAAGUAUCAUCCUGGAAAGACGAGAACCAGAAACAGCAUUUCAUAAGAGAAGAAGAAUAAAAUAUCAACUAGCAAGCAAAAUCAACACUAAUGCUACUUGCAUUUUAGAAGUUUUUUUAGAAGUUUUUAAUACACUUUUGUCUAGAUAUCUUUCCAUCUUUGUUUAUUAUUGUUAAUAUUUAGAGAGAAAACAAUAUUUCUUUUCAGAUAUUUGUUACUUUUUGUAUAAACAUAAUGAUUCUUUGCUGGGACCUUCUCGACCAAGAGUGAAAAACAAAAUGUCCAGAUGAAGUGUAAACUAAAAUUACAUUUCAAAAAUAGAGGACAGAAAAAAAUCUAAGAAGGAAAAAGUACAAACACGUGUCAUAAUCUGGGACCCACUUGUUGUCUUUUCGUUUAAUGGCUUGAAUUAAAUUUACACAGAAAAAUAAAAAAGAAGGUGUCGAGAGUCAAAAGAGAACGCGCAAAGAGAAGAGAAGAGAAGAGAAGAAACGAAAGAGUCUUUUAUCUUUCCAUAUAUCUAUCUCCCUCUCCUUUAUUUCUUCUCAUCCAUUAUCAUCGGGGUGAAUCUAGGGUUUUGUUUUCUCUCGCGACACCGUGUUCCUCCUUUAUAAUCUCUCUCUCUCUCUCUCUCUUUCAUCUCCUUAGCUCAUCAUCACGACUUCAAUGGAGGUUAGGCUUUAAUCUUUGUUUUUUUCCCCUGUUGAAUUUCAUUUAUGCCAUUGAUUUGAGACAACGAAUAUUCUGCUUGUUAUUAUAUAUACAUGGUUUUUUGUUGAAUUGUACUCAAUUGCAUUGCUGAAAAGUCUUGUUGGUGUUGAAAAUUCAAUUAUAGGGAGCGGGAGGCAAGACGACGUCGUCUGACGACGGGCAUUUGACGUCAGCAGCAGCUUUUGUUCAAGGGGGAAUCCAAGAUCCUUGUGAUGAUGCCUGUAGCAUUUGUCUUGAACUCUUCUGCGAUUCUGAUCCUUCAACUGUAUGUCGUCUCAAUAUUAUAAUUUGUUUGUUUUUGAGUGACAUUGAUUGAUUACCAGUUUUUUUAUCUUUAAUCUGUCGCAGUUGACUAGUUGCAAGCAUGAGUUUCAUCUUCAAUGCAUCCUUGAGUGGUAAGAGAAAAGAUAAACUCUCAUGCCUUUUGUAUCCUUGUUUCUUGUUUGUGUGAGAGCUGAUUAGAUCAUGUGGCAUUUGUGUUUCAGGUGUCAAAGGAGUUCACAGUGCCCAAUGUGUUGGCAAUCAAUUAGUCUCAAAGAUCCCACUAGGUUCCUUCUCUCUCCUUGUAAUACAUUUUAGUUCUUUUUGUUCUGCUGGAUGUUUGAGAUAUGUGUGUGUGUUUCCCUGUUUCACCAGUCAGGAGUUGCUUGAGGCUGUUGUACAGGAGAGGAGUUUCCGCUUCAAUCCACCUAGAAACGCCACCAUAUUUCGUCAUCCAACUCUUGGUGAUUUUGAGUUACAACAUGUAUGUGUCUCUUUUAUCAUAAACAUUUUAGGUUUGGGCACAAAUUUUUUUAAAAAAACGUUUGGUUUUGUAUAUUUUUAAACAAAAACAUCAUUAACUAUCAGCUUAACCACUUUUCAACCAACAAAAAAAACGACAGAAUAUAAAAGUCAUAAAACAUAAAAAUCCAAUAAAUUAUACAUUGAAAAUUGAAAACUGAAAACCUCAUGUAAUUUAAAACAAAUUUUGUUUUUCUAAAAUGUCAUUUUUUGAAAAAAGGAGGGAGUAUCUUACAUCUCUUUUGCUAGUGGAUUAACAAGAGUGAAUAUUAUUUUAAGUUUGAUUACUUCUCUUUUGCUAGUGGGUUAACUAAAGAGAGAGCUCCAUUUUGUUACAUUUUUCUUGAAAUGCAGCUCCCAGUAGGGGUGGAUAAUGCAGAGAUUGAAGAACGUAUCAUUCAGCACUUGGCUGCUGCUGCUGCUAUGGGCCGAGCAAGACAUGGUGCAAGAAGAGAAGGUCACAGAAGCAGGUCAUCAACUCAAGGUCAUCCACAGCUCAGGGUGUUCUCUCCGCAUUCCAAUGCUUCUCCACCUCAUCCUCCAAUGCCUUCCUCUCCAUCCCAAAGAGAUGAGAGUGAAACAAUCACAAACCUUCCUAUCUCUCAUCAAAAUACUUUAGGGGAGGGAUCUCUUCAUUCAAACAUGCAGCCACCAACUUCUUCUCAACCCCGCCAGGUUUCUCCUUCAAACAGCAGGUCUCCUAAUCAGCAU